GGCACCUGCUAACACCUGGAGCAGUUCUGUGGUAUUUUGUGGAUGCUGUGGAAGAUGGCAAGAACAUUUCUUUACUCCUACUGGUCCACUCCAGAACUUGUGUCCUACUGAGUUGAAACAGUGGAGCUGGGAUUGUUUCCUCUUGCUGAGAAAACCCUCUGUUAUUCUAUGACAGAAGAUGUAGUUCUCCACGUGGAAACUAGGAGGAGGAUUUUGCUGAGAUAUGGAAUGAUUCCCUCUCCAGUAAUAAGGCUCAGCCCGGUCACUCAUGUUCCAGGGAGCUUCUGAAAGCACAAGUCUCUCUAUGCCUCAGUUGCAGCACCCAAAAAAACUGGGAGUAGCUGCCAGCAAGAGCUGCUCACGGGGAAAGGCAGUGGCUGUUUACCUGCACUGCUCAGCCGGACCAGGGAGGACAGACCCACUUGUGUUCUCCGACAGAAGACAGUGACGUGACAUGAAUGGUAGCGCAAGGCUCUUACUGCUACAUUCAGUAAUCGAUUCUCCUGGAUGGACUGUGACUGCCCAAAGGUUGCAAAGAGAGAAAGAGUUGAAUCAUGCUGCCACUUGCCAAGAAGAAAAAAAAAGCAGCGUAAGAGCAUCAGUUUAAUGGACGUGCUUUGGAUUUACGCUGGCAUCCUGAAAGCAGAGUUGUCCCCUGUGGAUGUAGAAGUAUCGUGGUAACUCUCCCCAGAGUAUUACAUGAGGAAGGAUGGCAGCAACUCCUGGGAGAGUCUUCCCUGAAUCUACUGCUGUUCUGCAGGACCCAGCAGAAUCCCAGUUUUGAAAAACAGGGGGGCGCAGAAUUCAUCCACUGGCCUUUGCCAUGUUGUGAACUUGCACAGUCUGUUUCUUCUGGAAGAACUCCAAGUGACU
Long non-coding RNA from Grus americana (Whooping crane), 873 nucleotides. RefSeq lists it as uncharacterized. The transcript is spliced from 8 exons. NCBI's taxonomy places the organism in Eukaryota, Metazoa, Chordata, Aves, Gruiformes, Gruidae. The record is from RefSeq and is a predicted model, not a curated record.